GGGGUUGUGGCUCAUUGGUAAAGCACUUGCCUCACAUGCAUGAGGCCCUGGGUUUAAUCCUCAGCACCACA
RNAcentral lists this transfer RNA (71 nucleotides) under Marmota monax (woodchuck). RNAcentral's name for it is "tRNA.Val". It matches the Rfam family "tRNA". Rfam says of the family: Transfer RNA (tRNA) molecules are approximately 80 nucleotides in length. Their secondary structure includes four short double-helical elements and three loops (D, anti-codon, and T loops). Further hydrogen bonds mediate the characteristic L-shaped molecular structure. tRNAs have two regions of fundamental functional importance: the anti-codon, which is responsible for specific mRNA codon recognition, and the 3' end, to which the tRNAs corresponding amino acid is attached (by aminoacyl-tRNA synthetases). tRNAs cope with the degeneracy of the genetic code in two manners: having more than one tRNA (with a specific anti-codon) for a particular amino acid; and 'wobble' base-pairing, i.e. permitting non-standard base-pairing at the 3rd anti-codon position. The record is from RNAcentral. Lineage: Eukaryota; Metazoa; Chordata; Mammalia; Rodentia; Sciuridae.